Molecule: ribosomal RNA, 468 nt
Filed under: uncultured bacterium
Lineage: Bacteria
Description: partial 16S ribosomal RNA
Rfam family: Bacterial small subunit ribosomal RNA
Source: RNAcentral
GACGAACGCUGGCGGCGGGCUUAACACAUGCAAGUCGAACGGAAAGGCCGUGCGUGUGUGGGGUGCUGGAGGGGCGAACGGGUGAGUAAGACGUGAGUAACGUGCUCUUGACUUUGGGAUGGCUUCAGGAAAGUGGGGCUAAUACCGGAUAGGAGAUCCUGCUGCAUGGUGGGGGUUGGAAAGUUGCGGCGGUUGGGGCUGGACGCGCGGCUGAUCGGUUUGUUGGUCGGGUAGUGGCUUACCAAGGCUGUGACGGGUAGGCGGCCCGGGAGCGUGACCGGCCACAUGGCGACUGAGGUAGGCACCAGACUCGAACGGGAGGCAGCAGUGGGGAAUAUUGCCCAAUGAGAGGAAGCCUGAUGCGGCAACCCCGCGUGCGGGAUGACGGCCUUCGGGUUGUAAACCGCUUUCGCCUAUGACGAAGCGUGAGUGACGGUAAUGGGUAAAGAAGCACCGGCUAACUACGUG